UACGGAGGGUGCAAGCGUUGUUCGGAAUUAUUGGGCGUAAAGGGCAGGUAGGUGGUCUUAAAAGUCUACUGUGAAAUCCCCGAGCUUAACUUGGGAAGUGCGGUAGAUACUCUAAGACUAGAGUGCUGGAGGGGUUCGUGGAAUUCCCGGUGUAGCGGUGAAAUGCGUAGAUAUGACAUAGAAUACCCAUUGCGAAGGCAGCUAACUACGCGAUAAUUGACGCUGAUGCACGAAAGCGUGGGGAUCAAACAGG
This 253-nucleotide ribosomal RNA is filed under the name uncultured bacterium. Its description in RNAcentral is "partial 16S ribosomal RNA". It matches the Rfam family "Bacterial small subunit ribosomal RNA", at positions 524 to 776 of the family's 1533-position model. The record is from RNAcentral.